RNAcentral lists this ribosomal RNA (253 nucleotides) under uncultured bacterium. Its description in RNAcentral is "partial 16S ribosomal RNA". It matches the Rfam family "Bacterial small subunit ribosomal RNA", at positions 524 to 776 of the family's 1533-position model. The record is from RNAcentral.
UACGGGGGGGGCAAGCGUUGUUCGGAAUUACUGGGCGUAAAGGGCUCGUAGGUGGCCAACUAAGUCAGACGUGAAAUCCCUCGGCUUAACCGGGGAACUGCGUCUGAUACUGGAUGGCUUGAGUUCGGGAGAGGGAUGCGGAAUUCCAGGUGUAGCGGUGAAAUGCGUAGAUAUCUGGAGGAACACCAGCGGCGAAGGCGGCGUCCUGGACUGGUACUGACGCUCAGGAGCGAAAGCGUGGGGAGCGAUCCGG